AGCGGAAUGACUGAAGAUAAGGUGAUAAAUUGUAAAUUUAUAAAUGAUUAAAAAUCUUCCGUUA
Molecule: transfer RNA, 64 nt
Filed under: Notolachesilla sp. GRA1sp1LA
Lineage: Eukaryota; Metazoa; Arthropoda; Insecta; Psocodea; Lachesillidae
Description: tRNA-Tyr
Source: RNAcentral